RNAcentral lists this ribosomal RNA (462 nucleotides) under uncultured bacterium. Its description in RNAcentral is "bacterial SSU rRNA". It matches the Rfam family "Bacterial small subunit ribosomal RNA", at positions 1 to 507 of the family's 1533-position model. The record is from RNAcentral.
CAGUAGUCACGAGUUUGAUCAUGGCUCAGAACGAACGCUGGCGGCAUGCCUAACACAUGCAAGUCGAACGAGACCUUCGGGUCUAGUGGCGCACGGGUGCGUAACGCGUGGGAAUCUGCCCUUAGGUACGGAAUAACUCAGAGAAAUUUGUGCUAAUACCGUAUGAUGUCGAAAGACCAAAGAUUUAUCGCCUAAGGAUGAGCCCGCGUAAGAUUAGCUUGUUGGUGAGGUAAAAGCUCACCAAGGCGACGAUCUUUAGCUGGUCUGAGAGGAUGAUCAGCCACACUGGGACUGAGACACGGCCCAGACUCCUACGGGAGGCAGCAGUGGGGAAUAUUGGACAAUGGGCGAAAGCCUGAUCCAGCAAUGCCGCGUGAGUGAUGAAGGCCUUAGGGUUGUAAAGCUCUUUUACCAGGGAUGAUAAUGACAGUACCUGGAGAAUAAGCUCCGGCUAACUCCGUG